RNAcentral lists this ribosomal RNA (252 nucleotides) under uncultured Prevotella sp. RNAcentral's name for it is "partial 16S ribosomal RNA". It matches the Rfam family "Bacterial small subunit ribosomal RNA", at positions 524 to 776 of the family's 1533-position model. The record is from RNAcentral. Lineage: Bacteria; Pseudomonadati; Bacteroidota; Bacteroidia; Bacteroidales; Prevotellaceae.
UACGGAGGAUGCGAGCGUUAUCCGGAUUUAUUGGGUUUAAAGGGUGCGCAGGCGGAUUUUUAAGUCAGCGGUCAAAUCGUGGGGCUCAACCCCAUCCAGCCGUUGAAACUGGCAGACUUGAGUACAGUAGAGGUGGGCGGAAUUCGUGGUGUAGCGGUGAAAUGCUUAGAUAUCACGAAGAACCCCGAUUGCGAAGGCAGCCUGCCGCAGCGUUACUGACGCUGAAGCUCGAAAGCGCGGGUAUCGAACAGG